GGUGUUCUUCCCGAUAUCUACACAUUCCACCGUUACACCGGGAAUUCCAGUCUCCCCUACCGCACUCAAGCCCGCCCGUACCCGGCGCGGAUCCACCGUUAAGCGAUGGACUUUCACACCGGACGCGACGAACCGCCUACGAGCCCUUUACGCCCAAUAAUUCCGGAUAACGCUUGCACCCUACGUAUUACCGCGGCUGCUGGCACGUAGUUAGCCGGUGCUUAUUCGAAAGGUACACUCACCCGAAGGCUUGCUCCCGAUCAAAAGCGGUUUACAACCCGAAGGCCGUCAUCCCGCACGCGGCGUCGCUGCAUCAGGCUUGCGCCCAUUGUGCAAUAUUCCCCACUGCUGCCUCCCGUAGGAGUCUGGGCCGUAUCUCAGUCCCAAUGUGGCCGGUCGCCCUCUCAGGCCGGCUACCCGUCGUAGGCUCGGUGGGCCGUUACCCCGCCGACUACCUGAUAGGACGCGACCCCAUCCCAUACCGAUGAAAUCUUUCCCAGACCACCAUGCGAUGGACUGGAGCAUCCGGCAUUACCACCCGUUUCCAG
Molecule: ribosomal RNA, 548 nt
Filed under: uncultured Bifidobacterium sp.
Lineage: Bacteria; Bacillati; Actinomycetota; Actinomycetes; Bifidobacteriales; Bifidobacteriaceae
Description: partial 16S rRNA
Source: RNAcentral